Molecule: long non-coding RNA, 1509 nt
Organism: Pan troglodytes (chimpanzee)
Lineage: Eukaryota; Metazoa; Chordata; Mammalia; Primates; Hominidae
Exons: 6
Source: RefSeq, a predicted model, not a curated record
UCAUAGAAUCAUGGAAAGGAUGACAAAUAACGAGAAGGCUCAUCCAGUGGGUGUGUGUGGUGGUGAGGGAUUUGAGGGCUGAUGGAUGAGCCUGUUUCAUCAGCAGGUGAGCAGGAAGUACUCAGGGUUAUGAGUUAGGACACUUGGACUUUUGUCCAGCCUCAUUUACCACCUGGACAAGUCUCUAUACAAGCCGUGGUUUCCUCAUCUAUAAAAGCCUACCCAGCUUGAAGCUUCCAAAAUCUAUGUUGUCUCUGGAAUUCUUAGUAAGGUUCCCACCCCAGGACUGUCUUCCCCAGAUGCAGUUCAACAGAAGGAAGAAACAGAGCAAGACUAGCCUUUCUUUCUUCUCUUCCUUUGAAGAAUUAAGUGGUCUUGUUGGCUAGGACGUGUACCUGGUUCAGCUCUCUCCCCCAGGACUUCUUACCUGGGCUCCUUUUGAUUUCCUGCACGCAGUAGGAGGAAUCUAGAUCAUCGGGACUAGAAAGAAGCAGCUUCCUUCUGAUUGGGCGGCGUCUCUGAUCCUCAACUUCAGGUGCAAGGAGAGGCAAAGAAGGUGAGUGCUGCAACUGAUUGAACCAGAGCGGAGAACACAGGGAGAGGACAUCAGGUCAGGCAAAGAACAUUUCUUCCCCGAACAUGGCUAUUCACCGCUGGGGGCCUUCUCUUCUUCACCGCUUUUCACUGUCAGGUGAUAUUGGGCACUGAAGACACAGGCUCUACCAGUGUUGUGGGGAAGAAGAGGUUGUAGUGGCCUGUGGCUGCAAGGUACAAGGUGACUGCAAUGUUGAAGGGCAGAGUGAAGACCGGGAGGUCCCACUUGCUGAAGAUGGAAUUCAAGGCACUAGAAAGAACUGGGCUGAAGAUGGAAGAGACAGAGGGUUAAUCCCUGUGACAUCCUGAGGUCUACAUUGUCUCAGCAGCUCUGGCCACUGUAUCAUCCACUGCCUCCUCUCCUAGGCACAGCAUUCCUGGCCCCCUUGAGACUCCAGUGUUCCAAUGAUCUGGGAUAGGGAAUAGAAUAAGGGUCAGUGAUGUGAGGGUACCUGCUUCAUGGGCCACACAGUGAGUUGACACAGGAGCUAAGACUGUCUCAGCCUUCUUUGCUCAACAGCAUUCCCAACCUCCUUGUGUUGGGCCCUGGACUCUUCCCUAAGGUUCUCUCCCUCAUCCAAUGACUGUGGGCAUGUGCUAUGCCAUGGUGUGAAGCUGGGUCUUCCUUUGUGCAAGCUGGGCUGCCUCAAAGCAUCUACCAGUAAAUCCUUGAAACUGAAAAAGGCCAGCCGGCUCAUUGUCAGGAGAGGAGAACUAGAGGGCUUUGUGGCAUAGCAUCUUGGAGGGAAGAACCCCCAGGCAGAGCCUGGAUGUGGACAGCUUUCCAGAGAAAAGAGCAGGCUGCCAGGAAGAAAGCCAGCUGGGAGCAACAGUCCCUCGUGGCUCCAUUGUGUUUGAAAGUACAACUAACCCAAUACUCAGCACAAAGAAUUAAAUAAAUGUUUGUCAAAUUGA